UCGUCAUUAACAUUUGGUGAUUUCGGAUUUGUAAAGCGUUUCGAAAAUAUGUAUUCAAAAGUCAACAUCCAUUCUGGGAGACAGGUUAAAGAUUUAGAAAGACCCAAAGAUUAGACUCUUGGAUAUAAGCUUGAUAGAAUCAUAAGAAAGAAAUUGUCCUGUAAACAACUUUGUCGGCAAGAAAAACGUCAAAGUGGAAAUUUGAAAUUUUGAAAUCUUGAAAUACCAAACAUUCGUGCCUGAACCGGGCUAUCCAGAAAUGUAAUAAUUUCGGUAAUAGGAGACGGAUUCUCUAAACCACGACCUAUUGUGUAUGUUUUCAAGCCCAUUAAUGUGGAUUUUCCACUAUUUUCCAUUUUCAAUUCAAAAUAGUGUCCAUCAUUUGCCAGAAAUCAAAAUUCUAAGCUCUACAUUAUAUGGGCUUUCCUUCAAGGAUUCAGAAAAUAUAAUUUCCUUGUCUGUAAGUAAAAUAUCAAAAAAGCCUUAGGGACUUUUCACGUUUCAAGAUGGUGGCACUUCCAGUUGUAUCGAUAGACUUCAUAUUUUGUGUAUGCAUCAGGAAUUCCUCAGCUAGUACAGAAACAAAAUUUCAAGGCAAUCUGGCCUAUAUUUCUUCGAUUUUUAUACGCCCACAUUUUCAUGUGGACGUAUAUUGUCGUCGCCCCUGUCCGUCCGUCCACAAUUGUUUGUGAACAGUUUACAGGUCACAAUUUUUAUCUGAUUUCAAUGAAACUUGAAAUAUAGGUUUAUCACCCUAAGAUCUUGGUUCCUUUUGAUAUUGGCAUGUAUCGAACUGUAACUUCAUGGAUUAUGGCCCCUGAUAGUACGAAAAAUCACGUUUUUAGCUUGUGAACACUGUAGAGGUCACAAUUUUUAUCCGAUUUUGUUGAAACUUGAAAUAUAGGUUUAUCACUUAACGUGUAAGUAAUAACCUAACCUUUCUUCUUAGAUGUAGAGACAAUGAUAUCAUACCUAAAGGACUGUGGCUAAAAUCUUCAGUUUGCACAAUUGCGGCAAAGAAAAUUACUAGUUAUGCCAGCAAGUGCUUAGUUCGAGAACGUAUCCAGUUUUACAGGAACGAAAAACAUUGUAUUAACAUACAAAUCCAAGAACUGCACCAACAAAUUCAAUCAUCUUUGCAUGAGAGAGAUUAUCAGUCCUUUAUCACCAAACUCACCACUACCAAAUCCAACUUACAAAACCAGAUCAAAACUAAACAAGUAAAGAAGUUUAAUAAAUUAAUUAGCUUGAAAAGAAAUACCAUUAAACCUACCAACAAUAAUGAUACCAAUCUUCAAAACGAAUAUCUUACUAAAACUGUCUACAAUAUUAGCAGUAAGGAGCUCACAGACGAUCAGAUAAAUCUUCUGUCCAAGGGUCUCAAAUUCAUUCCUACAGUGACAACCAAGAAUCAUGACACUUUUAUAACCGGGAUAGAGAAGGGCUUACGACAGCUUGCGCCAGGCGGAAAACAGAUUAUCUUAGACAUCAAAUAGCCAACACACUUGCUAAAGCCAAACCACAAGUCAGCAACCUAUGCCGCUCUGAAAGAAAAGCCAUGGAUGAACUCAAGAAGGACAAGUCCAUAACCAUAGUGCCCGCCGAUAAAGGAAAAGUCGCCGUCCUGUUAAACACAGAUGAAUAUCACAGUACUGUCAACAAUCUCCUUAACGACACCUCCAUCUAUCGCAGAUUGCGAAAAGACACCACCAAAAAUCUUGAAACCAAUCUAACAAAACUAAUCAAGGAACUUAAGGAAUCAAACCAUAUAACCAACAGCCUGUUCUACCAACUCAAGCCAAGCCACCCCAGACCCCCAUACGCACGUGCAACCAUAAAAAUACACAAAGAUCCAAUAAAAGCUCGACUAUUGAUAUGCUCCAUAGAUUCUGUGUUUUACAAAGUGGCUCAACACUUAUCAAAACUACUGGCACCUCUAGGGAAAACGGCAGACUCCUUCAUCAAAAACUCCAACGAAUUCUGCAGUAAAAUCAGAGAAAUAGAUCACCCUGGGAAAAUUAUAUCCUAUGACAUUGUUGACCUCUUCACUAACAUUCCGAGAGAUGAAGCUAUAAAGAUACUAAAAACCAGGUUGGAUCAACUGGACACGCCACUUGACACCAGUCUUACUACAGAAAGCAACACCAAAUUAGUAGCAGAAUGCCUUAACUCUACCUAUUUUACCUGGGAAUUAGACACCUAUGAACAAGUGCGAGGUCUCCCAAUGGGUAGCCCUUUGUCACCUCUUAUGAGUGAAAUCUACAUGACAGCUUUUGAAGAAAGAGUGCUAGCUACAGCUCCUAUAACACCCUCUAAUUGGUACAGAAAAGUGGACAACACACUAGUCAUCCUCAAGCCAGACGAAGAUCCUACAAUUCUUCUAAACUACCUAAACAGCCAACACCCCCAUAUCAAAUUCUCUAUGGAAACAGAAACAGACCUAGGGAUACCAUUUUUAGAUGUUGAUAUUAAGAAAAAUAACAACCAGCUUGAAACAUCAGUAUACAGGAAGCCAACGCACACCAACCAGUACAUCCAUUUCAACUCAAACCACAGCCUCAAUAUUAAAACAGCCAUCAUAACAACAUUAGUAACCCGUGCAACCAACAUCUGUCACCCAGCCUUUUUAGACAAAGAACUCAACCAAAUUCAAGAAUCCUUGUGUCUCCUGAAUAAAUAUCCACAAUCGCUAGUAAAAAGAGUAAUCCAAUCAGUUCUCCAUCCAACAAAACCAACAGCUAAGCAGAGACCUGAUAAACCUGAAAUACAUGUGAAAUACAUGUUAGUAUACCAUUUAUAGGCAAAACUUCCUACCAUAUCCGAUGACUCUUGAGACAAGCUGGAAUAGAAACUGGUUUUAAAUAUGGGGAAACACUAAAGGGAAUCUUAAAAGCUAACGGGAAAUCAGCCUCAACAAACUCAAACCAAACAAAAGGAUAUGUAUAUUAAAUAACCUGCUCCUGCUCAUCAACUUACAUUGGAGAAACUAAAAGGCCUUUAGAACAUCAAGCUAAGUCAUCUAAUAACACAUCUGCUGUGGCUCAACACCUCAGAGACAACCCGCGUCAUAAAGUUAACUGGGAUAGUGUUAAAAUCUUAGACUGCAACAUACACAACAAAAAAAAGUAUUCAAAACUGGUAAAUGGCAAAUAUCUAACAGCAUUGCACCUCCAUGUUGAAUUGAUGGUGAAAGUGUAUUGCACCCAGUAAUGAAGGGUUUCAUAUUCAGACAUCAAAACAAACAGAACAAUGUGAAAUCUUCAGAAAAUGUCAAAUCCCUUUUCCACACCACAUAACAGGUUGUUAGAAAUGUUGAUGUGCCGACAAAGGGAGAAUCAAAGAAUCGCAACAGAAAAGAGUUUUGGAUGAAGCUGCUCGUAAAAGAAGACAAAGAAAAGCUCUUGAAGCUUUAGAAUCGGAUAACUUUCAAGAUGAUCCUCAUGCAGAUUUAAAAAUGAGCAAAAAAGCUCCUAAGUUUGAAGAAUCGAUUGGAGAACCAACAAAUAUGAAGAAAAAGCGAAAAUCAAAAGGAGAAUUUAAACAGAGAUAUAGAAAGAAUUUUGCUGCAUUAUUGGAAGAAGAAGUAAGUGUGCAACAAGUACACAGUGAACCACCUAAUUACUUCAGUGCUGCUGUUCCACCAUCUGUUAUUCCUCCCAGACAUUUCUGUGCUGUUUGUGGAUAUCC
Molecule: RNA transcript, 3687 nt
Organism: Patella vulgata (common limpet)
Lineage: Eukaryota; Metazoa; Mollusca; Gastropoda; Patellidae
Gene name: zinc finger HIT domain-containing protein 1
Exons: 5
Source: RefSeq, a predicted model, not a curated record